AAUGGCCUAACGGCUGAACCGGCAAUUUGGAGGAAUGUAAAAGAUAUGUGCUUUUUUAAGUACAUGUCUUUUUAGUGGUUUAUCCGCAUAAAGUUCUGGGUAAAAUACUGAUAAUGACAAUUUUUUAUCUAUAAGUCUUGACAAAAUCACGUGCCAGCAGUCGCGGUAAUACGGGAAAGACAAGCGUUAAUCAUUCUAAUAGGUUUAAAGGGUACCUAGACGGUAAAUCUAGCCUUUACCAUCAGGUACGGAUUUUCUAGAGUUUUAUGUAAGAGGUAUAUUAGUACUGACGGAGUAGAGAUGAAAUUCUUUGAUAUUGUCGGGCACUGGUAACGGCGAAGGCAACCCUUUAUGUAAAAACUGACGUUGAGGGACGAAGGCUUGGGUAACAAACAGGAUUAGGUACCCUAAUAGUCCUUGCAGACAAAUAUGAAUGCCAUAGAUUAGGACAAUUCUUAUCUAUAAGUGAAAAUGUAAGCAUUCCACCUUAAGAGUAUUGCGGCAACGCAGAAACUGAAAUCAUUAGACCGUGUCUGAAACCAGUAGUGAAGUAUGUUAUUUAAUUCGAUGGUCCGCGAAAAACCUUACCACAAUUUGAAUAUUAUAGUGAUUAUUAUCGCUUAUAAUACAGGUGUUGCACGGCUGUCUUUAGUUAAUGUCGUGAGAUGCAGGUUAGCUCCGUUAAAUUAACGUAAACCCACCUCUCAUUUAUAAAUGAAAGGGUUCCCCGCAAUAUCGGAUAUGAUAACAGGGAUUAAGACAAGUACUCGCGGCCCUAA
RNAcentral lists this ribosomal RNA (779 nucleotides) under Roccellographa cretacea. RNAcentral's name for it is "mitochondrial SSU rRNA". It matches the Rfam family "Bacterial small subunit ribosomal RNA", at positions 370 to 1204 of the family's 1533-position model. The record is from RNAcentral. Lineage: Eukaryota; Fungi; Ascomycota; Arthoniomycetes; Arthoniales; Roccellographaceae.